RNAcentral lists this ribosomal RNA (399 nucleotides) under uncultured bacterium. RNAcentral describes it as "partial 16S ribosomal RNA". It matches the Rfam family "Bacterial small subunit ribosomal RNA", at positions 338 to 734 of the family's 1533-position model. The record is from RNAcentral.
CCUACGGGUGGCAGCAGUGAGGAAUAUUGGUCAAUGGACGAAAGCCUGAACCAGCCAAGUCGCGUGAAGGAUGAAUGCUCUAUGGGUUGUAAACUUCUUUUAUAUGGGAAUAAAAUGUUGCACGUGUGGGAUUUUGUAUGUACCUUAUGAAUAAGGAUCGGCUAACUCCGUGCCAGCAGCCGCGGUAAUACGGAGGAUCCGAGCGUUAUCCGGAUUUAUUGGGUUUAAAGGGUGCGUAGGUGGAUUGUUAAGUCAGUUGUGAAAGUGUGCGGCUCAACCGUAAAAUUGCAGUUGAAACUGGCAGUCUUGAGUACGUUAGAGGCGGGCGGAAUUCGUGGUGUAGCGGUGAAAUGCUUAGAUAUCACGAAGAACUCCGAUUGCGAAGGCAGCUCACUAGGC